UACCAGACUCCUACGGGAGGCAGCAGUGAGGAAUAUUGGUCAAUGGCCGGAAGGCUGAACCAGCCAAGCCGCGUGAGGGAGGAAGGCGCAGAGUGUCGCAGACCUCUUUUGCCGGGGGACAAAAGGCCGGACUCGUCCGGUCCUGAGGGUACCCGGAGAAAAAGCAUCGGCUAACUCCGUGCCAGCAGCCGCGGUAAUACGGAGGAUGCGAGCGUUAUCCGGAUUUAUUGGGUUUAAAGGGUGCGUAGGCGGGCAUUUAAGCCGGCGGUCAAAUGUCGGGGCUCAACCCCGGCCUGCCGUCGGAACUGGGUGCCUUGAGUGGGCGAGAAGUAUGCGGAAUGCGUGGUGUAGCGGUGAAAUGCAUAGAUAUCACGCAGAACCCCGAUUGCGAAGGCAGCAUACCGGCGCCCUACUGACGCUGAGGCGCGAAAGCGUGGGUAUCGAACAGGAUUAGAUACCCCCGUACUG
RNAcentral lists this ribosomal RNA (468 nucleotides) under uncultured bacterium. Its description in RNAcentral is "bacterial SSU rRNA". It matches the Rfam family "Bacterial small subunit ribosomal RNA", at positions 329 to 793 of the family's 1533-position model. The record is from RNAcentral.